AUCCAGCUGAAGAGUCCGGAAUAGGACGAAACGCGCCUCUUGGAU
Schistosoma rodhaini is the source of this 45-nucleotide non-coding RNA. The record is from Rfam. NCBI's taxonomy places the organism in Eukaryota, Metazoa, Platyhelminthes, Trematoda, Strigeidida, Schistosomatidae.